CUGAGCAAAGGAGAGCCUAAGUAAAGAGACAAAUGUCUUCAUAUGCAUCUUUGUGCAGACUUGCCAGGAGAAGCACAGAAGAAGCACCGGGUGCCCUGUCAGCACCUCAGAGAGUUCUCUAAGAAGUCUGAGAGGCUGGGACCCGUGUCUGCUGAAGAAAAGCAGAAACACGAAGACAUUGGAAGGCUGAUGAGACACGUUACAAAAGAGAAAUGAAAACCUAUAUUCCACCCCCCAAAAGGGGGAGACCAAGAAAAGUUUGAGGACCACAAUGUACCCAAGAGGUCCCCUUCAGAAUUCUUCUUGCUAUGUUCUGAAUAAUACCCUCCCCCACAAAUAAAAAAAGACCAUCCUGGCUUAUCCACGGGUGAUGCUGCAAAGAAACCAGGAGAGCUGUGGGGGAGCGCUGCGGAGGACAGGCAGCCCUGUGAGAAGGCUGCGGAGCUGAAGGAAAACUGCAGGAAGAGGGGGGCACUCAAGGCUGACACGGGCAGGAGGAUGAAGAGGAAGACAAGGAGGAAGAUGAAGAGGAAAAGCAGGACGAAGAUGAUGAAUAAGAU
Molecule: long non-coding RNA, 560 nt
Filed under: Mus musculus (house mouse)
Lineage: Eukaryota; Metazoa; Chordata; Mammalia; Rodentia; Muridae
Description: long non-coding RNA chr3:101260916-101261476
Source: RNAcentral